Long non-coding RNA from Etheostoma spectabile (orangethroat darter), 113 nucleotides. RefSeq lists it as uncharacterized. Lineage: Eukaryota; Metazoa; Chordata; Actinopteri; Perciformes; Percidae. The record is from RefSeq and is a predicted model, not a curated record. The transcript has 4 exons.
AGCUGCCAGCAGCAGAGAGAGAAACAGAUUUAAAGCAGGGAUGUAAUGCUGUGAUUGGAUCAUGAAUUUCAUGGCCAAUUCUGGAUGGUUUAAUGAAAAGUGAACGCCUCUAA